AGCCUACGGGACGCAGCAGUGGGGAAUAUUGCACAAUGGGGGAAACCCUGAUGCAGCAACGCCGCGUGAGUGAAGAAGGUUUUCGGAUUGUAAAGCUCUGUUAGCAGGGAAGAGGAAGGACGGUACCUGCAGAGGAAGCCACGGCUAACUACGUGCCAGCAGCCGCGGUAAUACGUAGGUGGCAAGCGUUAUCCGGAUUUAUUGGGUGUAAAGGGAGCGUAGACGGCUGAGCAAGUCUGAAGUGAAAGGCGGGGGCCCAACCCCCGGACUGCUUUGGAAACUGUAUAGCUAGAGUGCAGGAGAGG
Molecule: ribosomal RNA, 305 nt
Filed under: uncultured bacterium
Lineage: Bacteria
Description: bacterial SSU rRNA
Rfam family: Bacterial small subunit ribosomal RNA
Source: RNAcentral